This 706-nucleotide long non-coding RNA is filed under the name Capra hircus (goat). RNAcentral describes it as "lncRNA (ENSCHIG00010008934.1)". Lineage: Eukaryota; Metazoa; Chordata; Mammalia; Artiodactyla; Bovidae. The record is from RNAcentral.
UAAUUAAAAAAAAAAAAACAACUAGGAGAAACAUUUCAGUUUCCUUUCCCACAGCAGAAUCAAACAGUAUGUUUAUACAAUGAAACUAGUAAGAGAGUAAAGUAAAAAUUACAUUUCUUAAUUUUCUUAAUAUAGUUUAAGGUGGUAGAGUGGCUACUUUUUCUUUUAAUGAAAAUCUCUUUCCUAUUCUCUUCAUCAUGUAAUGUAGGACCUUUAACAAUACAAUGUACUGGAAAAUAAUUAAAAAUCAUUUCCUAAACUAAUUAGUUUCGGAACCACCUCCCUGGUUUCUCCCAUUCAUCUUGUGCUUAUAACCUUAUAAUAUUAGCUCGAAUUUCAUCUCUGCCUGACACAUUUCAAGCAGUGAAACAGAUUAGUGCCUCAGAACACUUUAUAGGGUUUCGUUAUCAAUCAGGUUAUGUUCCCAGUGAUGCUUUCAGCAGAAUUAUCUUAUUCGAAUGAACUCUCAUGGACUGAAGUAAACAAAGCUACAGCCCACUCCUCUUCCAUACUUCCCAUUCAUUUAUUUCCUUUUUUUUUUAAACUUAGACUUACAGCACGUGCCACAGAAAGAGAGCGCGUUAAAUAUUCCUGGAGUGUCACAAUAUGUAAUACAAUAAAACAGAUUACAACCCUACCUUUCUUUCACAGCAGUGGUGCCAAGCACAGGUACACCGGAGCAAUCAAUUUGUUCUGCAGACAGUAA